Molecule: ribosomal RNA, 253 nt
Filed under: uncultured bacterium
Lineage: Bacteria
Description: partial 16S ribosomal RNA
Rfam family: Bacterial small subunit ribosomal RNA
Source: RNAcentral
UACGUAGGGGGCAAGCGUUGUCCGGAAUCAUUGGGCGUAAAGAGCGUGUAGGCGGCCCGAUAAGUCCGCUGUGAAAGUCCAGGGCUCAACCCUGGGAUGCCGGUGGAUACUGUCGGGCUCGAGUCCGGAAGAGGAGUGUGGAAUUCCUGGUGUAGCGGUGAAAUGCGCAGAUAUCAGGAGGAACACCAAUGGCGAAAGCAGCUUUCUGGGACGGUACUGACGCUGAGACGCGAAAGCGUGGGGAGCGAACAGG